Molecule: long non-coding RNA, 300 nt
Filed under: Drosophila melanogaster (fruit fly)
Lineage: Eukaryota; Metazoa; Arthropoda; Insecta; Diptera; Drosophilidae
Description: antisense RNA:CR44019 (Dmel_CR44019)
Source: RNAcentral
GCUGUUUGGUGGUUUUUGGUCUUUGUUUUCUGCGAGACAGGGGUGGACCGAUGUCGAUUGUUACUCAUUGUGUCGAUUUCUUGCUAUCGAUGUGCGCUCGUUACCUACGAGGAGGUGGUUAUGAUUACCAAUUCGGCGAGAGUAGGACCAAGGCAGGAUGUACUAUGUUUUCCACCCAAAAGGAUUAUGUAUUUAAGAUGAGAAUCAUUGGGAGAUUCGAUCUAGCCAUGUCCAUAUCGGGAAUUAUAUAAGGUGUAAAGUUAUGGCACGCAGGGAAUAUUCGGCAACAGUCGAAGAUGA